AUUCAUUUGACAGGUGUUCUGAUAUAUAAAUUCGAAUUUUCCUCUAACAUUUAUUAAACAACCACAACUCAAAAGAAUAGCCUCUGUAGUUUAAUAAAUUUUACGAUGAAAUCAUCAGUUGCUUUGUUGUUGAUGGUUAUCGUAGCAAUGCUAAUUAUCUGUGACGAAACCAGUGCCGAAGCACCAGGCGGAAUGGGAGGUGCCAGACGCAACUAUGGUAAACUGGCCAGUCACGCGAUAACACUAGACAAACGUGACGACUAUUUAAGUAAGGAGGAAUUGGUCAGUCUAGCGAAAACCCUUAAUUUGAAUCCCAAAUCAAAAGAUUUUGUGAAGAUUCUAAAAUUGGCUGAUGCAAACAAAGAUGGAAACAUAACAGCCGAUGAAGUUAAAGUAGUCAAGCUGAUUAAAUUGAUGAUUUCAUUAUUAGGAACCAAUUAAUUACGUCAUAUCCAUUACAGAUGACUUAACCAAAUCUGAGAUAGAAUCCAAAUCAAAGAGAAAACAAAUACAAUUAUGUAAACAUUUAAUUUUCAAAAAUAUAAAUUGCUUAACUACAUUAAUACACAUGAUGUAUUUCUAAAUAUCCAACAUUUGAAAAUAAAACAUUUAUCGUAA
Patella vulgata (common limpet) is the source of this 618-nucleotide long non-coding RNA. RefSeq lists it as uncharacterized. The transcript has 4 exons. NCBI's taxonomy places the organism in Eukaryota, Metazoa, Mollusca, Gastropoda, Patellidae. The record is from RefSeq and is a predicted model, not a curated record.